GAUGAACGCUGGCGGCGUGCCUAAUACAUGCAAGUCGAGCGAACGGACGAGAAGCUUGCUUCUCUGACGUUAGCGGCGGACGGGUGAGUAACACGUGGAUAACCCACCUAUAAGACUGUGAUAACUUCGGGAAACCGGAGCUAAUACCGGCUGAUAUUUUAAACCGCAUGGUUCAAAAGUGAAAGACGGUCUUGCUGUCACUUAUAGAUGGAUCCGCGCUGCAUUAGCUAGUUGGUAAGGUAAAGGCUUACCAAGGCAACGAUGCAUAGCCGACCUGAGAGGGUGAUCGGCCACACUGGAACUGAGACACGGUCCAGACUCCUACGGGAGGCAGCAGUAGGGAAUCUUCCGCAAUGGGCGAAAGCCUGACGGAGCAACGCCGCGUGAGUGAUGAAGGUCUUCGGAUCGUAAAACUCUGUUAUUAGGGAAGAACAUAUGUGUAAGUAACUGUGCACAUCUUGACGGUACCUAAUCAGAAAGCCACGGCUAACUACGUG
Molecule: ribosomal RNA, 497 nt
Filed under: uncultured bacterium
Lineage: Bacteria
Description: partial 16S ribosomal RNA
Rfam family: Bacterial small subunit ribosomal RNA
Source: RNAcentral